This 228-nucleotide ribosomal RNA is filed under the name uncultured bacterium. Its description in RNAcentral is "partial 16S ribosomal RNA". It matches the Rfam family "Bacterial small subunit ribosomal RNA", at positions 103 to 334 of the family's 1533-position model. The record is from RNAcentral.
CGGGUGAGUAAUGUAUGGGGAUCUGCCUGAUGGCGGGGGAUAACUACUGGAAACGGUAGCUAAUACCGCAUAAUGUCUGCGGACCAAAGCGGGGGACCUUCGGGCCUCUUGCCAUCGGAUGUGCCCAGAUGGGAUUAGCUAGUAGGUGGGGUAACGGCUCACCUAGGCGACGAUCCCUAGCUGGUCUGAGAGGAUGACCAGCCACACUGGAACUGAGACACGGUCCAG